CUCUACAGCUGUACCACCCUGACCAUGCCCAGUCUUGUCUGAUCUUGGAAGCUAAGCAGGGUUGGGCCUGGUUAGUACUUGGAUGGCAGAGUAUUUGACUGCAGGCACAGAAGCUU
Molecule: ribosomal RNA, 116 nt
Organism: Cavia porcellus (domestic guinea pig)
Lineage: Eukaryota; Metazoa; Chordata; Mammalia; Rodentia; Caviidae
Source: Ensembl